RNA transcript from Myotis myotis, 11011 nucleotides. It is a transcript of the gene named zinc finger protein 687, with no coding region annotated. Lineage: Eukaryota; Metazoa; Chordata; Mammalia; Chiroptera; Vespertilionidae. The record is from RefSeq and is a predicted model, not a curated record. The transcript is spliced from 10 exons.
UAUAAGUGAACUGCAGGCUUUCGGGAUCGCGGCCAAUAGGGAGCGAGGGGGCGGAGAUGCACCUGGAGAGUCACCGCCUCCAGUAGGAAAGCAGGGAAUCAGAGCGGCUUCUUCCUAAACGACAGGUAGCGCGGCCAAUCGCUUUUGAGAUGCACAGAUGGGGCAGGUGGCGGCACAACCAAUGGCAAGAGGCACUUCGGAAGGACUAGGCUCCUUGCCCAAUGAAGCUAGGAAGACCGUGCGGGUUUGUCCGGAGCGGCAGUACUUAAGGCCAACCCAGUGUGGGGCUGGGCGGGGCGCACCGCUGAACGACGAGGGGAUUGGCCAAUGGCGAGUACGAAAGCCGGCCGCCCAGACCGGGAACGCCGAGGGAGCUGAGGAAGGGGAGGCCGAACGGGAGAGAAGCAGGAAGUAGCGGCGGCGGCGGGGAGGGCUGCGGUGGCGGCGGCGGCGGCGGCAGCGGCCGGGGCAGGGGAGGGACCGCCAGCGCUCAGCCCGCACUAGGAGCCAAACAAGUCUGGGACUUGCCGCCAUGGGAGACAUGAAAACCCCUGAUUUUGACGACCUCCUUGCCGCCUUUGACAUCCCCGACAUUGAUGCCAAUGAGGCCAUCCACUCUGGGCCGGAAGAAAAUGAGGGGCCAGGAGGCGCGGGGAAGCCAGAACCCGGUGCAGAGGGUGAGCCUGGAGAAGCAGCAGCAGCAGCUGGAGAUGGCCCUGGCGUCUCAACCCAGGCCUCUGAUCACGAUCUGUCGUCGGGGGACAUCUCAGUCGUCAGCGUCAUUGUCAAGAACACUGUGUGCCCUGAGCAGUCUGAGUCCCUGGUUGCAAGUUCAGGAGGGGAAGGGGCCCGGGCUGGGGGUACAAUUAAGGAAGAACCUGUGGGGCCUCAUCUGAUGCAGAAUGGUUUUGGGGGCCCUGAGCCAUCCCUUCCAGGAAACCCCCACUCUCCAACUCCUCCCAGUGGAGGUACCUGGAAAGAAAAAGCCAUAGAAGGCAAAGCAACUUUGGACCUCUUCGCUCAUUUUGAGCCUGAGCCAGGGGAGCACCCUGAUCCCCUGCCUUCCUCUGUGCCCUCCCCACUGACGGAAGGGACCAUGACCCCCCCUCCUUUCCCCUCUCCCUUUGAGCUGGCUGAGGAGAAUGGCCCCCCACUUCUGCCACCUGGUUCUCCCCCACCGCUGGGCGCUCUGAAGCAGGGCAGCGGCAGCCCCCUUCAUCCCCAGGGCAUAGCCCGGUUAGACUCAGGCUCUAGCCCUGAGGCUGCAGGCAUCCCUGCCAGCCCCUCACCUCCCCAGGUUGCUGGGAUGCCCUUCUUCAAGCAAUCUCCAGGGCAUCAGAGCCCUCUUGCCUCCCCCAAAGUGCCCAGCUGUCAGCCCCUAAAGGAGGAAGAAGAGGAUCAGGGGCCAGUGGACAAGUCUCCCCCAGCAAGUCCCCAGAGCCCUUCUAGUGGAGCUGAGGCUGCUGACGAGGACAGCAAUGACUCCCCUGCCUCCUCCAACUCUUCCAGGCCCCUCAAGGUGCGGAUCAAGACCAUUAAGACAUCCUGUGGGAAUAUCACAAGGACUGUAACCCGGGUCCCUUCAGACCCUGGUCCCCCUGCCCCCUUGGCCGAGGGGACCUUUCUAGCCGAGGCUAACCUCCUAAAGCUGUCCUCUGCGGUUCUGACUCCUGAGAGUCCGAAAGUGGUGAACGUGCAUUUGGGUGACGGCACGAGGCUGAAGGGCACGGUGCUGCCUGUGGCCACCUUCCAGAACGCAAGCACUGCCAUGCUGAUGGCGGCCAGCGUGGCCCGCAAAGCGGUGGUUCUGCCUGGGGGCACUGCCACCAGUCCUAAGACAAUUGCUAAGAAUGUGCUGGGACUGGUGCCCCAAGCCCUGCCCAAGGUCGAGGGGCGGAUAGGGCUGGGGAUAGGGGGACAGAAGGUGAACGGUGCCUCGGUGGUGAUAGUGCAGCCUUCCAAGCCGACCACCGUGCCAGGUGCCGGGGGCGGCACAGUGAUCUCACGGACCCAGUCCAGCCUGGUGGAGGCCUUCAACAAGAUCCUCAACGGCAAGAACCUGCUGCCUGCCUACCGGCCGAACCUGAGUCCACCUGCCGAGGCCGGGCUGGCCCUGCCUCCAACGGGCUACCGCUGCCUCGAGUGUGGCGAUGCCUUCUCGCUGGAGAAGAGCCUGGCGUGGCACUAUGACCGCCGGAGCAUGCGCAUCGAGGUCACCUGCAACCACUGUGCCCGCCGCCUGGUCUUCUUCAACAAGUGCAGCCUGCUGCUGCACGCCCGGGAGCACAAGGACAAGGGGCUUGUCAUGCAGUGCUCACACCUGGUCAUGAGGCCUGUAGCCCUGGACCAGAUGGUGGGGCAGCCGGACAUCACGCCCCUGCUGGCUGUCCCAUCUGCCCUCGGACCUCCAGUCUUAUCUGCCUUGGGCAAGGGUGAUGGGGCCAUCGCCACCUUCGCCAUUUCUACAGUUGCUGCUGAGGCCCCUGUGCUGCCGCUCUCGGCUGAGCCACCUGCUGCCCCUGCCACCUCUGCUUACACGUGCUUUCGCUGCCUGGAGUGCAAGGAGCAGUGCCGGGACAAGGCUGGCAUGGCUGCCCACUUCCAGCAGCUUGGGCCCCCUGCCCCUGGGGCCACCAGCAAUGUGUGCCCAACCUGCCCCAUGAUGCUCCCCAAUCGCUGCAGCUUCAGUGCCCACCAGCGCAUGCAUAAGAAUCGACCUCCCCACGUCUGCCCUGAGUGUGGGGGCAACUUCCUGCAGGCGAAUUUUCAGACCCAUCUCCGGGAGGCCUGUCUGCACUUCUCUCGCCGUGUAGGAUACAGGUGCCCCAGCUGUGCAGUGGUGUUUGGGGGUGUGAACUCCAUCAAGUCCCACAUCCAGACGUCACACUGCGAGGUUUUCCACAAGUGCCCCAUCUGCCCCAUGGCCUUCAAGUCUGCACCCAGCGCCAACGCCCACCUCUACACCCAGCAUCCCAGCUUCCCCACGCAGCAGGCCAAGAUGAUCUACAAGUGCGCCAUGUGUGACACGGUCUUCACUCACAAGCCCCUCCUCUCCUCACACUUCGACCAGCACUUGCUGCCCCAGCGCGUCAGUGUCUUCAAGUGCCCGUCUUGUCCUCUGCUUUUUGCCCAAAAAAGGACCAUGCUGGACCAUCUCAAGAACACCCAUCAGUCUGGUCGCUCGGGAGAGGAGACUGCUGGGAAAGGGGCCGGGGAUACUCUUCUGACCCCUAAAGCUGAGCCUGAGGAGCUGGCUGUGUCUCCGGGAGGAGCAGCUCCCCCUAUAGAGGAGCUGUCUUCCUCUACAGAAGAGGACCCACCCAGCUCCCCAGAGCCUCCUUGUCCACCCAAACGGCCCCGGCGGGAUCUAGGGAACAAAGGCACCAAGGGUGGGGGCGGGGGCCCUGGAGGCUGGACCUGUGGCCUUUGUCACUCCUGGUUCCCGGAGCGGGAUGAGUAUGUGGCUCACAUGAAGAAGGAGCAUGGCAAGUCAGUGAAAAAGUUUCCCUGUCGCCUAUGUGAGCGAUCCUUCUGUUCUGCGCCCAGCCUGAGGCGCCACGUCAGGGUCAAUCAUGAGGGUAUCAAGCGAGUUUACCCAUGCAGGUAUUGCACGGAAGGAAAACGCACCUUCAGCAGCCGCCUCAUCCUGGAGAAACACGUCCAGGUGCGGCACGGCUUGCCGCUCGGCGACCAGUCUCCUGGCCGGGGGAGUGUUGUGGUUCGGGGCGCCGGUGCCAGAGCCCAGCCCACGUGGGACCAGGAGGACGGGACUUCUAGGCCUGCUAGACAGGUCCAAGAAGAGACCAGUGUCCGCAGUCACACUCCACAGCCCCUGCAGGCGGACUUCAGGCCUGGCCCUGCCCUAGCACCACCCCUUACAUUCCCUGGCACUCAAGCCCCCCACCCCUACAGUGCCUUUCACUUGUUUUUCCCCCCACCCCCAGAAAUCCAGGGGGGUUGGUAGGGAUGAGUCCUGUCAAGGGGGCCCAGGGAGAGUUGGGGACAGGCUCUCAGGAAUCCUUUAUUCUUGUAGUAAUAAUACUAACAGUGGGGGAAAUGGGAAGGAGAAACCCAGACCAUUAAAACUGCUUGUGGUUUAAUCCCCAUUCAGGCUCUUUUUGAUGUGACUUGGACAAUGUAGACUUACUUGAUGGAGGGGGGUGAGAGUCAAAUCUAGGGAGGCCUUUCUCUGGGAAAAAGUGGUACUGACGGAGACAGGUAGGGAAAAAGCAGUCUUCCUCCACCUUGUUCUGUGUGGUACAUCUAUUCACUUACAUUCACCCCCACCCCCCCAAAAAAAUACAACUCAGAAAUGACACAUGGCUAACUAAGGACUUUAUUUCAAACAAAAAUUAAAAAAUUGAGAGCUAUUUCCCUGGAUGUGGGAAGGGAUCAGGGCAAGGAAUUCCCUGUGGCUAGGCCAGUUCCCUCUGUAGGGGAGGGGUUGUGAUAACCCUCCUGGUCUCUGUGAUGGGGACUCAGCAAGGGCAGGACCCUGUGCCAGAGCCCACCUGCCAAGGGGACCUCAGGCUAGGAGUCAGUCCUGGGAGGAACAGUCAGGCAGCAGCAUGGCCAAAGGCGAACCACAGGAUCAAAUUGUAAGUACCAAGAACCCACUCUUCCCCUUCCUGGGACCUAGAACAGAUUAAGAAGAUGGCCUGUGGGAAGAACCUCUUGGACCCUGGCGAGAAGAAAGGCCCAGUGCCCUCACAUUUGUCACCUCUCUCCUCUGGGGGGCAGUGAGUCCUGGGGUCCCUCAGGUGGUAAUACUGACACCGCAGGGGGCAGGGAAGCCCCAGCAAGCCUGGACCCCACAGCUGGCUCUCCCCUGACAAGCUCUCCAGUCACCACAUGAUCCUUUGUAUUUCUUGCCUUCCAUUUCCCGUGGGUGGGUGGGUGUUUCCUGGUUUGGGGUUUCUCCCAGGGAGGGUCCCCUGAAUGCCCCACCGCGCUGGGGCCUGAGAGGGUGUCACAUGAUGCCGUUGGUGAGGUACUGGAAGCCAUCGUAGAGCUUGGUGGUGAUGGACCGCAUGCUGCCGUCCACCAUCUGCUCCACCAGCAGCUGCAGUUGCUCCUCGGUCAUGCUCAUGUGGAACCUCUCCUUGAGGUUGCGGAUGGUGCUGGAGCCGUGGAAGCAAGGGAGCUGAGAACCUGGGGGCAGGAAGGGCAGGGUCAUGGGCGGAAAGGAGGGAGGGCCAGUGGUAACAGCCACAGCAAGGCCUUAGAGACCCCUGAGCAUGUGGAUGCAGUUCUGCUUGCACCCAUCCUCAUGCCGUACUCCAACACCCUCUAUAGGUGAGGGCAUGAGGGCAGAGGAGGGCAGGGGCCAACACCACCUCUCCCCCAGAAAUAGCUGAGUGGGCAGAGUCUUAGGACCCAGAGGAAGGCUGGGAAUGGGCCCUGAGCUGGGCACUUAUCUGGUUUGCAGGGCUCUGCCUAUGCUACGUCUGACACUCACAGAUGACCUGGGCCACCGUCGUCAUGGGGCCAGACAGGGGUGCUCCUGAGCAACGGCGACAACCUGUGGGGUGAGGGUGGGGUGGGGAGGAGGAGGAGACUGGCUGCUCAGAAUGGGUGUAUACUGCACCCCUAAGGAGUGGGGUUAGGACAAGGGCCCAGAAGGCUGGGAGUAAAGGGACAAAAGACUAGAUGACGCAGUGAGGAUAGGACAGUGCGAAUGGAUAGGUGACAGGUGAGGAACUACUCAUCUCAGAGCAGGAGGGAUGAGUAUCGGGACAAAGACGGGGCCUGAGGACAGGGCAAUUGGAGGUCAAAGCCCAGCGGGGAGGAAAGUGGUGACUGGAAACACCUGAGCUGGUGAAGAGCUGAGUGGUGGGAGGGACCAAGAGGCUGGAGAUGAGACUCCUCUCUGAGGAGGUAGUUUCUGGGGCCUCCACCCGUCCAUCCCCAGGACCUAGCUCUGUCAGGAGGCAUGUCCCAAAGGAGAAACGGCACUGGGUCAGAGCUGGGAACCUCUGCCUGCCUGGUGUCUUGAGGUAGAACGUACUUCCUAGAAAUUCCAUGCUGGGCACAGCCCUGUCCCCACACCUGCCUCGCCCCAGCCCCACCUUGCUGCAUGAUCUCCACGAUCUGCACCACCUUGUCCAUGUGUUUCCGAGCAGCAAUCAGCCCCUGUAGCAUCAGCAUCUUGUAGUAGUUGAACAUGUCACCAUCCAGGCCGCCCAUGACCUGUGAGGGGAGGAGAAAGUUGUAGGUAUAAGGGCUCAGCGUACCCCCAGCCAGAACUCCCUCCAUUAGGGCAAACAUGCCAAACCCCACUACUUCCCAACUCUCUCAGCAGGCAGGAAGCCUCCCAGGACACCAGCCUCACCCUGACUUACUGCCAUUUCUGUUCUGUUUGUCCGUAAUUUGGGGGGAGCCCACUCCCAUGACAGAGAAAGAACACAGUGAGGCACCUCUCCUUCCUGACUCACGUCCACAAACUCUGUGGUCAGCUUAAAGGCUGACGUCUCAAAGCCCAGGUUUCGGGGAGAGCUGGACAGGAUGAAACCGAAGUCAAUGUGGAUGAUGUGGCCCUCUGCGUCCAAAAGGAUGUUCCCAUUGUGUCUGAGGGGGGCAAAGGAGAGGAAGAGGCAGUAUAAGUCAGUGUGAGGUGGCAGCCUCAAGCUGAAACACUGGCCACAUGACACCAGGCGGGGAAGUCCCCUGCCAUGUUUCCUGCUGCCUAUAACUCAGUCCAACCUGCGGCCUAAAGCAGCAACAGAAACGGGAAAUCGGGCACGUAAGCUGCUAACAGUCUGAAAUCGCUUUUACUGACAACUUAAUAGUUUAAGAUUGUAAUUCUAUCACCCAAACUGAUCCCAACCUAGUAGAAAACCCAGAAGCAAGGGAAGAAAGCCUCUGAGGCUCCCACCAGCUGUCACAGAGGCCAAGCAGUUGGCUCAGGGGCCUCAAUCAGAACCGUUUUACCUGUGAGCCCCACCAGAAGGGAGUGGCAGGCUGGGAAGAGUUUAAAUGUAAAAUAAUGUGGGGGCUUCAAGGGCGAGUUCUAACUACCUGAUAAGUCACCCCAGUAAGAAAUGAUGAGCCAGCUGCAGGAAGAAGAGAGUAAAGAUGAGUCCAGGUCCGUGACCCCGACAUGAAUAACGAGCAGGAGGAGGAACAAUGAACAUGCUAAGCAUGUGAGGCCUGGCCCAUUCAGGAUAACCAGCCUCAGUGUCAACAGUGGCUUUGUUAGGCUGAGCUCCAGGUCUGAGGCCACCUUCUCCAGGGUUGGUCUGAGUGGCCAAAAAGGAGGGACAGAAAGAGAGCCAGUCCCACCUGAGUCCUUUAUACUCUGGGAAGCACUACAAAUUUAGCCAUAAAGGCACACUCUCAUUUUACAGGUGAGGAAACACCUUGAGAGAAGGUCCCGAGCAUGAGGGGCUCUCUGACAGCGGGAGAUGGCUGGGCCCUCAUUCUGAAGCAGUUAAAGAUCCUAACCCGCUUCCACUGCGGAGCCUUGGGCAGUGUUGCCAGUUCCUCCCACUGGCUGAUUCCAUUCAGGGCUUGACUACAUCUAUUCUUUUUUGAGUUACUAUUAAACGUUUCUCAGCUGCCUGUUCCCCUCUCCCCCUUUUUUAAAGGAUGAACUCUGACCUUCCAAAUAUCUUCCUGAAGGAAAGCCACAGGCCUGACCAGCACCUGCUUCCCUGCCCCCAUUUACUCAAACCUGCGGCUCAGUUCUAGGCUGUGCCCUCGAUUCAAAACCCUGACUCUUAGGGACAGUCUAAAGUUACUAAUGUUGUGGCCCCACCCCAUAACAAAGAAACAGAAUUUCCGGAGGAUGAGGCCCAGAAAUCAGGAUUUUAAAAAGAUUCCCAGGUGAUUCUAAUGUGCAGCUAAGAUUGAGAACCACUGGUCUAAAGCUCGUAAACAAAUUCCUUAUAAACAAUUACAUGUUCCUUCAGCCCUCAAAUGUAAAGCCUCCACGGGACUCAUUUGUAGGGCUGACCAGAUGGAGUGAGCGCAGGUUCUGAAAGCUCUGACCGCCAGUCCCCUCAUAGGAAACACCUGUCUGACUGUUUUCAGCUGGUUUCAAUAAAGCACGUCAGGCUGCAGCAUGCACUUACUAGUAAUAGAUGCUAGCUUUCUGACAAGCUGCUCUGCUGGCUAGAUCCUAAAGUGCUACCAUGUCCGGGAGCUCUGAAAGCUCAGGCCACUGUAUUUCUGCCUUCCUAGGGCAGCUGCCCAUGCCUGUGAGGUGCAACUCACAGGAGCAUUCAGGAUGCAGACCCUGAGUCACGUCUGGGUGGAAUUAUUUUUGUACGCUGUGUUGUUCACCUAUGUGGGAAGCUGGGCCUCAGAACGGUCAUGUGAUACUGGAAAUGGCAGCUCUGGGGAAAGCAAUAAAUACUUCAACGUUUUGAAAAUUGUAUGUUGGAAUAAAAGGAGAUUUCAGGGUUGGGAGUUUCAACUCUAUCUCCACCAUGCCUCUCAUAUCUAUCUUCUCCUUUCUGCUCUCAGUCACUACCACCUCCCUCGGGUCAGGACUCAUUACCUCCUGCUUUGUUGCUUAAAGGCCUAACUAGACCCAACCUCACUCAGUACCACAGGGUGCACUCAGUAAACAAAGACGGGGUCAUGUCAUUCCUCACCUGCCAAGUACAGUCCCUCAGCCUCACUGUGCAGGUGCUUCUAGUCUGGCCUCUGCUCACCUGUCUGACAUCCCUGCUAUUCUGCCAGGCCGCAAAGCCCAAACUUUUAUUAAAAUUUGUAAUUUUUGUUAUUUAUUGAUUCUAGAGAGAGAAGAGGGAGAGAAAGGGGGUCGGGGGAGAGAGGAUUCAUUGGUUGAUUCUUGUAUGUGGUCUGACUGGGGAUCGAACCCACAACCUUGGAGUAUUGGGACAACACUCUAACCAGCUGAGCUCCCCGGUCAGAGCCAGGAGCCCAGGUGUUACUCACACUGACUUAUUCCUCUGGACUCUGUGUCCUUCCCCCACAGCUUCCUCUGCCCUCGUUCUCCUGCAUCCUUUUAAGAGCCUGCUCAUUCAAACCCUUGCUUCUCCCCAUAAAUCCUUCAUAUCUCGCUCCUUUACCCUAGUACUUGUCAGUCUGUCUCUUUGGCUUAAUGGCACGUGAACAUGUCUAUCUCUGCUUAAAACAUGUUGUUUGUCUCAUCUUUUACGUCUUGGCAGUGGAAGGUCGUGGUGAGUAUACGAAAACUACACGUGAAAGGACAGAGAUAACCCUGGAAAAAAGGUUAGGAUGAGGGUCAGGAAUUUACCUACCUGUCCUUGACUUGCAGCAGGUAGCAGACCAAGCAGUAGCCAGCGCAACUUUGCACGAAAUUGCGCUGGGCACUGAGGAAUGCCUCAGUGGUGUAACUGCCAUGCUCCUGAAGGAAGUAAUCGAGCAAGGAGAGCUGUGACUGUUUCUUCACCUGGUGGAUGGACACAGCGUUGACCACGGGUUCAAUCAUGCCACUGUCAGCCGAAAUCACAAGAAUCUUGUAUGGCUUGAUCCACAGCGGCACUCGCUCCUGUUCCCAAAUGGACUGUGAGGAGACACGGGACCAUCAUCUUUCAUUCAAGUUGGGGGAGGGGCGAAAAGCCCUCUAUCCCUAACCUUGGAAGUUCCCAGCCCUGGUGGCCUUGGAUUCUAGUCCAUCAACUGUUUCAGCACCUGGAAGGCCAGCAGCUCCUGCCGAAGAUCAUCCCCGCACUUGACAAUGACUGACAGGAGCCGCCAAUUGGGGAGAUGGCCAUAGGGAGAGCCCUCUCUGAUCCGCCUGCAUAAAGAGAAGCAAAAUGUGUCAAGAGGUGAUGACAGAGACACAGCUUCUACCAAAAAUCCAAAUCCAACUCCCCAUAAGGCAAGGACUGGGGCUGCCUGGGGGCAUGAUGGAUUUGGGGGGAGCCCAGUGGACACUGGAUGGUGCAGUGAGUUCCUGCAGUUGUCUCCAAGCUUUGAGACGUCUAGAGACAGCUGCCUCCCACCCAACUCACCGCACUUUCUCCUGCCAGGGCUCUUUGAGAGCAACUGCAGAAGGGUCUUCUGGGUCUCGUUUGAAGGCUGUGGGGGUGUGAGCCAGCUGCUCCGAAAGGCGCCGUCUAGCAGGAAGAAAUGGUAUCAUUUGCUUGGAGGAGUUACCCCAGAGCCUCAUGUCCCUGUCUGUGGCAGCACUGCCUGCACUAUUUCCUUGAUUCUAGGCACAGAGAGAAACCUGGGUUGAGAGACUCGUGGAGGACACAGGCCACUGAUACCUUUUUGCUAACCUGAUGGUAUGGAAUCAUGAUAAUCACCAGGCCCUCCCAUUCCUCUACCAAGAUUCUGGUUCAAAACAGCUGUGGCUCCAGCAUCUGCAUUUUCAACAAGAUCUCUCCGAUUCUGACAUGUGAAUCCUUGGACCCACUCUGAGAAACGCUGCUUUAAUUCCUCCCUCUGCUGCUUUCAUCCCUUUGGAGACCUUUUAACAUUUAAUUUCUUUCUGUAGUAGCCUAGUAAUUUCUCCACCUGCCCCUUCACUGCCUCAAGUUUGGUGGCCUCAGAACAAGGACAGAGUAAAGAGAGAGGAAAGGGAAAGACACAGGCUGACAGAAGAGGAGAAAGAGACAGGCAGAGCCUUAAAGAGGGAUGAAAAAUGAGAGGCAGUGUGGUCUGGCCAUACCGGAUGUCCCCUGCUGCAAUGAACACAGGCUCCUUGCUCUCCUGGCUGGUGAUGCUGUCCACAGAGAACUGGGAGAUGUUGUCACAGCUGUUGGUGUGCACUUCAGGGAGCUGGGGAGAGCAGGGAAUGGUAGGUCAGAAGCGCUAGGCACAGGUCUCGCUUCUUUCACCUCCUCCACAGAUCACCUGGAGUGUUUUCUAUUUGCAGAUUAUGAUCAUUCCCCUCUUCCUAAGUCUGCUCCAAAAACCCUCCCCUGGUUACAUAUCAUCCUGAUCACUUGGACCCCAAACUGCCGAGGCACUCACAUAGGCCCUUCAGUGGUGUUUCUCAAACAUCUGAAUGCUACUAAAACCAUAUUCCCAUAUGGAACCAUCAAUCUGGAUUAAAAUUACUGGGAAUGGA